This 325-nucleotide ribosomal RNA is filed under the name uncultured eukaryote. RNAcentral describes it as "partial 18S ribosomal RNA". It matches the Rfam family "Eukaryotic small subunit ribosomal RNA", at positions 1470 to 1796 of the family's 1831-position model. The record is from RNAcentral.
CCCUUAGAUGUUCUGGGCCGCACGCGCGCUACACUGAUGCAUUCAACGAGUUUCUUCCUGGUCCGAGAGGAAUGGGUAACCUUUUGAAAGUGCAUCGUGAUAGGGAUAGACUAUUGCAAUUAUUGGUCUUCAACGAGGAAUUCCUAGUAGACGUAGUUCAUCAGACUGCAUCGAUUACGUCCCUGCCCUUUGUACACACCGCCCGUCGCUCCUACCGAGGGGGUGAUCCGGUGAAUGAUUCGGACUUUGGCAUUGCUAUGUUUCAUAGCAUUGCUGGGGGAAGUCUUGUGAACCUUAUCACUUGGAGGAAGGAGAAGUCGUAACA